RNAcentral lists this ribosomal RNA (471 nucleotides) under uncultured bacterium. RNAcentral's name for it is "partial 16S ribosomal RNA". It matches the Rfam family "Bacterial small subunit ribosomal RNA", at positions 28 to 507 of the family's 1533-position model. The record is from RNAcentral.
GACGAACGCUGGCGGCGUGCUUAACACAUGCAAGUCGAACGAUGAAGCCUAGCUUGCUAGGUGGAUUAGUGGCGAACGGGUGAGUAAUACGUGAGUAACCUACCUUUAACUCUGGGAUAAGCCCGGGAAACUGGGUCUAAUACCGGAUACGACCAAUCUCCGCAUGGGGUGUUGGUGGAAAGCGUUAUGUAGUGGUUAUAGAUGGGCUCACGGCCUAUCAGCUUGUUGGUGAGGUAACGGCUCACCAAGGCGACGACGGGUAGCCGGCCUGAGAGGGUGACCGGCCACACUGGGACUGAGAGACGGCCCAGACUCCUACGGGAGGCAGCAGUGGGGAAUAUUGCACAAUGGGCGCAAGCCUGAUGCAGCGACGCCGCGUGAGGGAUGACGGCCUUCGGGUUGUAAACCUCUGUUAGCAGGGAAGAAGAGAGAUUGACGGUACCUGCAGAGAAAGCGCCGGCUAACUACGUG